Molecule: small RNA, 470 nt
Filed under: Pan troglodytes (chimpanzee)
Lineage: Eukaryota; Metazoa; Chordata; Mammalia; Primates; Hominidae
Description: processed transcript
Source: RNAcentral
GCUGCACCCGGGAGAGGCUCCACUCCUCUCCUGCAGUCUCUGGAAUGAUUCAGACGAUGUGACUCAAACGACUCCAGAAACAUUCACAGAAGAUCCUAAUCUGGUGAAUGAUCCCGCUACAGAUGAAACAGUUUUGGCUGUUUUGGCUGAUAUUGCACCUUCCACAGAUGACUUGGCCUCCCUCAGUGAAAAAAAUACCACUGCAGAGUGCUGGGAUGAGAAAUUUACCUGCACAAGGCUCUACUCUGUGCAUCGGCCGGUUAAACAAUGCAUUCAUCAGUUAUGCUUCACCAGUUCACGACGUAUGUACAUCGUCAACAAGGAGAUCUGCUCUCGUCUUGUCUGUAAGGAACACGAAGCUAUGAAAGAUGAGCUUUGCCGUCAGAUGGCUGGUCUGCCCCCUAGGAGACUCCGUCGCUCCAAUUACUUCCGACUUCCUCCCUGUGAAAAUGUGGAUUUGCAGAGACCCA